RNAcentral lists this ribosomal RNA (305 nucleotides) under uncultured bacterium. RNAcentral describes it as "bacterial SSU rRNA". It matches the Rfam family "Bacterial small subunit ribosomal RNA", at positions 333 to 655 of the family's 1533-position model. The record is from RNAcentral.
UUUGGCCUACGGGGCGCAGCAGUGGGGAAUAUUGCACAAUGGGCGAAAGCCUGAUGCAGCAACGCCGCGUGAGCGAUGAAGGCCUUCGGGUCGUAAAGCUCUGUCCUCAAGGAAGAUAAUGACGGUACUUGAGGAGGAAGCCCCGGCUAACUACGUGCCAGCAGCCGCGGUAAUACGUAGGUGGCAAGCGUUGUCCGGAUUUACUGGGUGUAAAGGGCGUGUAGCCGGGUUGACAAGUCAGAUGUGAAAUCCUGCGGCUUAACCGCAGAACUGCAUUUGAAACUGUUGAUCUUGAGUACUGGAGG